AAUAUUGGACAAGGGGGGCAACCCUGAUCCAGCCAUGCCGCGUGUUUGAAUAAGGUCUUCGGUUUGUAAAUCACUUUAUGUUGGGAGGUGGGGCUUUAGGCUAAUACCCUGAAGUUCUCACGUUACCAACAGAAUAAGCACCGGCUAACUCUGUGCCAGCAGCCGCGGUAAUACUGAGGGUGCAAGCGUUAAUCGGAAUUACUGGGCGUAAAGCGCGCGUAGGUGGUUCAGUAAGAUGGGUGUGAAAUCCCCGGGCUUAACCUGGGAACUGCUUUCAUAACUGCUGAGCUAGAGUACGGUAGAGGGUAGUGGAAUUUCCUGUGUAGCGGUGAAAUGCGUAGAUAUAGGAAGGAACACCAGUGGCGAAGGCGACUACCUGGACUGAUACUGACACUGAGGUGCGAAAGCGUGGGGAGCAAACA
Molecule: ribosomal RNA, 422 nt
Filed under: uncultured bacterium
Lineage: Bacteria
Description: partial 16S ribosomal RNA
Rfam family: Bacterial small subunit ribosomal RNA
Source: RNAcentral